AAGAGGAGGUCAGAUCAGAUGCACUAUACAGAAGCUGGCAAAAUCGGAACAAAGGUGGAAGGAACUAAACAGAUCAUGCCUUCAGUCCACCCUAGGUCCCCAUCACAGAGGGAGGGCAUUGCCAUGCAUGUCCCCACAGAGAUGCUCCUUGGAGGGUGUCUGGGCAGAUCCUGUCCACUAUUGCCAACUCCAAGGUGAUUAACCUUGUGUCUGCCCAUAGUAAUCAGGUUGACACAAAACCUACCCUCUCCCUUGCAUGUCUUAGCAGUCCCUGAGUUAGCAAAUGUGAGGAGGCCACUCCAGCCAAAGUCCUGCCUCUGAUGUUCCAGUCCAGCCCACAGGCGUUCAUAACAAUGCUUUGCCUAGCAGACCUCAUGGGGACUGCACACUCCACACCAGACCGGUGCACAGGCAAGACACUGCAGUGCUCUGGAGGGAGUUGUGGUCAAGGACUCACAGCCCCCAAAUCUCAGGCCAGAGAGGGACAGACACACAUCCGCACUCCUAGCCUUGUGUCUCUAUUAAGACAUCACCUUAUUGGGCCUCAGCAGAAGACCGCGCUUCCUAGCAGGAGCCUGUGGUUCUGGGCUCCUCCCAGGGAGACAGUCCCUCCCCCAUCCUCUAUAUGUGCUUCAUCCAUGUAACCCUUUGCAAAAUCUUUCAGUAGGGGAAAGAUGGAACCCUGGAGAGCCAGGGUGCUAUACUUUAGAGGCUUGUCACAUCCAAGUGUUAUAUUGCAACUGAAUCCCCAAGUUUAGAGGUGAGGCCUGAUGCACCAGGUCUGGGUCAUGGAGACCAACACUGCAUGAAUAACUUAGUGCCCUCCCUGGUCAGGGGUGAGUUCUUCUCUUAGUUCCUAGCAAGAGCUGGUGGUUGAAGAGUCUGAGCCCUCCCUCUUGCUCUCUCUUCCUUCCUCCCUCACCUUGUGACCUCUGCCCAGGCCACCUCCCCAUCCCUUUCUGCUAGGAGUACAAGCAGCCCGAGGCCCUCAUCAGAAGCUGAGCAGACGCCUGCACCAUGGUCCUAUGCAGCCUGCAAAGCCAAGACCCAAAUCAGCCUCUUUCCUCAUGAACAAACCAGCCCCAGCUAUUCCUUUCCAGCCACACUAAAAGGCAAAGACCUGGCACUUUCCUCUUCUCCCUCUGCUUGCGCUGCCUCGGUCUCCUGUGCUGUGAACUCAUCCAGGGACAAAGGUCCUGCUGGAGACCAGACUGAGCCCUCCAUUUCUCUAAUCCUGGGGUAUCUUUCUAUCUGUUAGAGGAUGCCCCCACCAUGCCAUCCCACAUCUGCUGAUGCAUGGACUGACUAGGACAUCAGACGCCAUUGCUGAGGCUCGGACACUGCCAGAAAAAAACAUUUGUCCAGAAGUAGAGAGUGAGCCCUAGUGGGGGUGAGAAGAUUCUGUACCUACUGUUGAUGCAGGU
This 1424-nucleotide long non-coding RNA is filed under the name Homo sapiens (human). RNAcentral describes it as "HSALNT0360408". The record is from RNAcentral. Lineage: Eukaryota; Metazoa; Chordata; Mammalia; Primates; Hominidae.